UACGUAGGGUGCAGGCGUUAAUCGGAAUUACUGGGCGUAAAGCGUGCGCAGGCGGUUUGCUAAGACAGGUGUGAAAUCCCCGGGCUUAACCUGGGAACUGCGCUUGUUACUGGCAGGCUUGAGUGUGGCAGAGGGGGGUGGAAUUCCACGUGUAGCAGUGAAAUGCGUAGAGAUGUGGAGGAACACCGAUGGCGAAGGCAGCCCCCUGGGCUAACACUGACGCCUCAUGCACGAAGCGUGGGGAGCAAACAGG
Molecule: ribosomal RNA, 253 nt
Filed under: uncultured bacterium
Lineage: Bacteria
Description: partial 16S ribosomal RNA
Rfam family: Bacterial small subunit ribosomal RNA
Source: RNAcentral